UACGUAGGGUGCGAGCGUUGUCCGGAAUUAUUGGGCGUAAAGAGCUCGUAGGCGGUCUGUCGCGUCGGGAGUGAAAACUCAGGGCUUAACCCUGAGCCUGCUUCCGAUACGGGCAGACUAGAGGUAUGCAGGGGAGAACGGAAUUCCUGGUGUAGCGGUGGAAUGCGCAGAUAUCAGGAGGAACACCGGUGGCGAAGGCGGUUCUCUGGGCAUUACCUGACGCUGAGGAGCGAAAGUGUGGGGAGCGAACAGG
This 253-nucleotide ribosomal RNA is filed under the name uncultured bacterium. RNAcentral's name for it is "partial 16S ribosomal RNA". It matches the Rfam family "Bacterial small subunit ribosomal RNA", at positions 524 to 776 of the family's 1533-position model. The record is from RNAcentral.